GACGAACGCUGGCGGCGCGCCUAACACAUGCAAGUCGAACGAGCGAGAGAGAGCUUGCUUUCUUGAGCGAGUGGCGAACGGGUGAGUAACGCGUGAGGAACCUGCCUCAAAGAGGGGGACAACAGUUGGAAACGACUGCUAAUACCGCAUAAGCCCACGGUGCCGCCUGGCACAGAGGGAAAAGGAGCAAUCCGCUUUGAGAUGGCCUCGCGUCCGAUUAGCUAGUUGGUGAGGUAACGGCCCACCAAGGCGACGAUCGGUAGCCGGACUGAGAGGUGGAACGGACACAUUGGGACUGAGACACGGCCCAGACUCCUACGGGAGGCAGCAGUGGGGAAUAUAGCACAAUGGGGGAAACCCUGAUGCAGCGACGCCGCGUGGAGGAAGAAGGUCUUCGGAUUGUAAACUCCUGUUGUUGGGGAAGAUAAUGACGGUACCCAACAAGGAAGUGACGGCUAACUACGUG
RNAcentral lists this ribosomal RNA (466 nucleotides) under uncultured bacterium. RNAcentral's name for it is "partial 16S ribosomal RNA". It matches the Rfam family "Bacterial small subunit ribosomal RNA", at positions 28 to 507 of the family's 1533-position model. The record is from RNAcentral.